CCUACGGGAGGCAGCAGUGAGGAAUAUUGGUCAAUGGGCUUACGCCUGAACCAGCCAAGUCGCGUGAGGGAAGACUGCCCUAUGGGUUGUAAACCUCUUUUGUCAGGGAGAAACGCCGGCUACGUGUAGCCGGACUGAGAGUACCUGAAGAAAAAGCAUCAGCUAACUUCGGGCCAGCAGCCGCGGUAAUACGGGGGAUGCGAGCGUUAUGCGGAUUUAUUGGGGUUAAAGGGUGCGUUGGCGGAAUGCCAAGUCAGCGGUAAAAUCGCGGGGCUCAACCUCGCUCCGCCGUUGAAACUGGCGUGCUUGAGUGGGCGAGAAGUAUGCGGAAUGCGUGGUGUAGCGGUGAAAUGCAUAGAUAUCACGCAGAACUCCGAUUGCGAAGGCAGCAUACCGGCGCCCAACUGACGCUGAAGCACGAAAGCGUGGGUAUCGAACAGGAUUAGAUACCCUUGUAGUC
RNAcentral lists this ribosomal RNA (460 nucleotides) under uncultured bacterium. RNAcentral's name for it is "partial 16S ribosomal RNA". It matches the Rfam family "Bacterial small subunit ribosomal RNA", at positions 338 to 795 of the family's 1533-position model. The record is from RNAcentral.